Molecule: ribosomal RNA, 440 nt
Filed under: uncultured bacterium
Lineage: Bacteria
Description: partial 16S ribosomal RNA
Rfam family: Bacterial small subunit ribosomal RNA
Source: RNAcentral
CCUACGGGUGGCUGCAGUGGGGAAUAUUGCACAAUGGGCGAAACCCUGAUGCAGCGACGCCGCGUGAGUGAAGAAGUAUCUAGGUAUGUAAAGCUCUUUCAGCAGGGGAGAAAAUGACGGUACCUGAUUAAGAUGCCCCGGCUAACUACGUGCCAGCAGCCGCGGUUAUACGUAGGGGGCAAGCGUUAUCCGGAUUUACUGGGUGUAAAGGGGGCUUAGACGGCAGCACAAGUCUGGAGUGAAAUGCCGGGGCUUAACCCUGGAACUGCUUUGGAAACUGUGCAGCUAGAGUGGAGGAGAGGUAAGUGGAAUUCCGGGUGUAGCGGUGAAAUGCGUAGAUAUUACGAGGAACACCAGUGGCGAAGGCGGCUUACUGGACUGCAACUGACGUUGAGGCUCGAAAGCGUGGGGAUCAAACAGGAUUAGAUACCCUAGUAGUC